UACGUAGGGUGCGAGCGUUAAUCGGAAUUACUGGGCGUAAAGCGUGCGCAGGCGGUUUUGUAAGCCAGAUGUGAAAGCCCCGGGCUUAACCUGGGAAUGGCAUUUGGGACUGCAAGGCUGGAGUGUGGCAGAGGAGACUGGAAUUCCUGGUGUAGCAGUGAAAUGCGUAGAUAUCAGGAGGAAUACCGAUGGCGAAGGCAGGUCUCUGGGCUGACACUGCAGCAGCAG
RNAcentral lists this ribosomal RNA (228 nucleotides) under uncultured bacterium. RNAcentral's name for it is "partial 16S ribosomal RNA". It matches the Rfam family "Bacterial small subunit ribosomal RNA", at positions 524 to 751 of the family's 1533-position model. The record is from RNAcentral.